This 112-nucleotide small RNA is filed under the name Nitrosospira briensis. Its description in RNAcentral is "Guanidine-I sequence". It matches the Rfam family "Guanidine-I riboswitch aptamer". Rfam says of the family: This family represents a conserved RNA structure found upstream of the ykkC and yxkD genes in Bacillus subtilis and related genes in other bacteria. Lineage: Bacteria; Pseudomonadati; Pseudomonadota; Betaproteobacteria; Nitrosomonadales; Nitrosomonadaceae. The record is from Rfam by way of RNAcentral.
UGUAGGUGAAACUAGGGUUCCGGUCUUUCCCCAUGGGAUGAGAGAUGUCUGGUCCGAGAGUUUCCGGCUUCGUCAUGACGAGGCUCCACGGAGGGAUAAAAGCCCGGGAGAU